RNAcentral lists this ribosomal RNA (647 nucleotides) under Salmonella enterica subsp. enterica. RNAcentral describes it as "partial 23S ribosomal RNA". It matches the Rfam family "Bacterial large subunit ribosomal RNA", at positions 1154 to 1769 of the family's 2925-position model. The record is from RNAcentral. Lineage: Bacteria; Pseudomonadati; Pseudomonadota; Gammaproteobacteria; Enterobacterales; Enterobacteriaceae.
CGUAUCACCCAAGACAACUUUACGGAGUUGACGAUUGACGGAGCGAAGCGACGUCAAAGCGUUCAUUAAAGUCGAGUUGGCUUAGGGAUACGUUCGUUGGGUAGGGGAGCGUUCUGUAAGCCUGUGAAGGUGUGUCGUGAGGCAUGCUGGAGGUAUCAGAAGUGCGAAUGCUGACAUAAGUAACGAUAAAGCGGGUGAAAAGCCCGCUCGCCGGAAGACCAAGGGUUCCUGUCCAACGUUAAUCGGGGCAGGGUGAGUCGACCCCUAAGGCGAGGCCGAAAGGCGUAGUCGAUGGGAAACGGGUUAAUAUUCCCGUACUUGGUGUUACUGCGAAGGGGGGACGGAGAAGGCUAUGUUGGCCGGGCGACGGUUGUCCCGGUUUAAGCGUGUAGGUGUGUGUUCCAGGUAAAUCCGGUUCACUUUAACACUGAGGCGUGACGACGAGGCACUACGGUGCUGAAGCAACAAAUGCCCUGCUUCCAGGAAAAGCCUCUAAGCAUCAGGUAACACGAAAUCGUACCCCAAACCGACACAGGUGGUCAGGUAGAGAAUACCAAGGCGCUUGAGAGAACUCGGGUGAAGGAACUAGGCAAAAUGGUGCCGUAACUUCGGGAGAAGGCACGCUGACACGUAGGUGAAGUGAUUUA